RNAcentral lists this ribosomal RNA (482 nucleotides) under uncultured bacterium. RNAcentral's name for it is "partial 16S ribosomal RNA". It matches the Rfam family "Bacterial small subunit ribosomal RNA", at positions 30 to 507 of the family's 1533-position model. The record is from RNAcentral.
AUUGAACGCUGGCGGCAUGCCUAACACAUGCAAGUCGAACGGUAGCAGGUCGUCGGCUGCUGAAUUGUGGCGCACGGGUGUGUGUUAUGCCGAAGAAUGCGCGAUGGAGGGGGGUAAAACGUCGGGAGACUGGCUAUUAUACCACACGCGCCCCGUGGGAGAACGUGGGGGAUUCGGGGAUCGCACGCUCUGAGCGGCCGAUGGCUGGUUAGGUAGUUGGUGGGAUAAAAGGUUACCAAGGCGACGCUCUGUAGCUGGUCUGAGAGGAUGAUCAGCCACACUGGGACUGAGACACGGCCCAGACUCCUACGGGAGGCAGCAGUGGGGAAUAUUGGACAAUGGGCGAAAGCCUGAUCCAGCCAUGCCGCGUGUAGGAUGAAGGUCUUCGGAUUGUAAAGUGCUUUAGGACGGAAGGAAGAGCAGCUAGUUAAUAACGUGCUGUUAUGACGGUACCGUAAGAAUAAGCACCGGCUAACUUCGUG